AAAUAAUCCUGUGAAAUAAUAUGGUGAGCUAUUGUUGCUGUUGCUUCUGAACUACAAAAUGAUUUUUAAAUUUAUUAUUUAAUGAGACUGUACAUUAUAAAUGUAAUGCUUUAACUCUAGAUGUUUGUUUGUGUAAAUGCUGUGUGUGCGUUGAGUCCUGCGCGAGCGGGGAGCAGAGUUGCCAUGGAAACGGGGCGUCAACACAAAAACCGUUACUGGCAAGCAGUAAUCUCCGUCUCUUGCUGCGGUUUACACUGUUUUGGAAACGGUUUAGUGUCUUCGGAAAAGUCCGUUAUCAUUUUAGCAGUUUUUAGAUGUUUGUUUGUGUAAAUGCUGUGUGCGCGUUGAGUCCUGCGCAAGCGGGGAGCAGAGUUGCCAUGGAAACGGGGCAUCAACACAAAAACCGUUACUGGCAAGCAGUAAUCUCCGUCUCUCGCUGCAGUUUACACUGUUUUGGAAACGGUUUAGUUUCUUCGAAAAAGUCCGUUAGCAUCUUAGCAGUUUUCAGGAGGACAGAAAGAAACUCUACAGAACAGAAGUGAAGCUCCAAGAUUUCAACAUUUCUGAAGGGAGAUUCUGACUUAGAAAUACAGGUGACCUGAAGAAGCUCAUGAAAAACAUGAAUAUGCCUUUUUCAGAAUACAUUUCACCAAUUUUAAGAAGUCCCUGACAUCAUAACCUUGUUUCCUUCUAAUGAACCUGGAACUGCAGAGUUAAUAUUGUUGACUCUGUGUCAGAUUGCUUGUUUUGUUCCUGGAUUCUUCAGUGAUCAUGAGCAGAGUCUGAGUGAACCUGCUGUCAGACAGGUUGGCCUGAUUGACGAUGCCAUCGUCCAUCGCCGAUGGCUGAUAGACAUCACGAUGCUGCGCCGGAAACAGCGUCAUCAGCUCCAGUAUCUUGCCCGUGCAUCUGUUGUCAUGCGACAGAGAAGUCACGUUCUAUAGACAGUUUCUAUAGACAGUUGUGAACGUGCUGACAGCUGGUUGCCCAGGCUAUGGAUUAAAGGUAAUACUGUUGUAAGUAGUGUUCAUUUUCUCCUAAAUACCGAUCAUUUCGCUUCAUUAGACCUCAAUGUAUCACCAGUAGCCACCGGUAUUGAUUUGGUCUUUUUUUUUUCUGGACAUCCACACAGCACCACAGUAUUAUCAACUAGAGAUCAACCGAUAGUGGAUUUUUCCAAUACUGAUAGCUAGUUUGGACCACACUGGCCGAUACCGAUUUAUAAACCAAUAGUUUUUAAAAUGAAUACUGAACAAAAUGGAUACUGAACGAGAGCAGAGGUCGCGCUGCGGGUUCCCGGGUUUGUGUCCAUUCUCGGACCAUUCCAUGUAUUUCAACUGUAGAAAAGGUUGUUCCGAGCCGAAACUGACUUCUUUCAUAUUUUCGACCAAUAUACAGAAAACUACAUCAGUAUAUCAUCAUAAACACAAACGUUUUUGUCUUACAUGAAUGUAAACAGAUGAGAAAGAAAACACACAUGUACAGUAUUUUUGUUUAAAGAGACAACAGCCUAAUAAAUGCGUCUGUCAUUAAUGUUAAUCAAAGAACAAAAGAAACAAAAGAAAAUCAUUCACUGAUCUCGACUGAAUAUAUUUAAUAACUUUAAUUGAUUAAUCUUUAUUUUAUUUAUAAAAAGAAAACUAUGCAGUGUUUUUAAACUUUUAAUUACAGU
This is a long non-coding RNA of Carassius gibelio (silver crucian carp), 1672 nucleotides long. RefSeq lists it as uncharacterized. The record is from RefSeq and is a predicted model, not a curated record. Lineage: Eukaryota; Metazoa; Chordata; Actinopteri; Cypriniformes; Cyprinidae. The transcript is spliced from 7 exons.